Molecule: ribosomal RNA, 775 nt
Filed under: uncultured Neocallimastigales
Lineage: Eukaryota; Fungi; Neocallimastigomycota; Neocallimastigomycetes; Neocallimastigales
Description: partial large subunit ribosomal RNA
Rfam family: Eukaryotic large subunit ribosomal RNA
Source: RNAcentral
UCGCAUCUGUGCAUGCAGCAUAUCAAUAAGCGGAGGAAAAGAAACUAACAAGGAUUCCCUUAGUAACGGCGAGUGAAGCGGGAAGAGCUCAAAUUUGAAAUCUUCAAGGUUUUACCUUGACGAAUUGUAGUUUAAAGAAGUGUUUUCUGUUGAAGUUUUGGUAAAAGUUCUUUGGAAUAGGACAUCAUAGAGGGUGAGAAUCCCGUAUUUGACCAUUAUUUUCAGCUGUGUGAUACACUUUCAAAGAGUCGGAUUGUUUGGGAAUGCAGUCCAAAAUGGGUGGUAAAUUUCAUCUAAAGCUAAAUAUUGGCGAGAGACCGAUAGCGAACAAGUACCGUGAGGGAAAGAUGAAAAGAACUUUGAAAAGAGAGUUAAACAGUACGUGAAAUUGUCAAAAGGGAAGCGUUUGACACCAGUGUUGUUUUCUCGAAAAUCAAUUAAAAAGAGUUAGAUUUUGUUGUGUAUUGACCUUAACAGCUUGCAUUUCAAUUUUCUUGCUUUUUUUAAUGCACUUUUCGUCUAACAAGUCAACAUCAGUUUCUUUUGUUGUAAAAAGGUCAGUGGAAGGUGGCUUUCUUUUCGGAGAAAGUGUUUAUAGCCUUUGACUCCUGCAAUCGGAGAGACUGAGGUCUGCAGCGUAGAUCCUUCGGGGUUAGAUACAUUUGUGCUAAGUUAUAGCUUUUUAUAGACAACUUGUUGACUAUGAUUAGUCUUGUAGCUUACUCGCUUAUGCUAUUUUACCUACGCUUAGGAUGUUGAUGUGAUACUGCGAGCA